CUCCAAGAAACAAGUAAGAAGGCUAUCAUAGAGAGUUUGAAUGAAAAUUGGAGAAGUUGGAGUAAAGAUUGAUGAUCCAUGAUGGCCAACCUUCAUCCAUAUUCCAAACAUGACCUGAGGUUCGUGAAUCAGCAGGGUUGGCAUUCAGCACUCUCUACAUGACUGCUGGAAUGCAAGCAAUUGAUGAGAUUGUUCAUACACUUCUGCAUGCUCUGGAGGAAGAUCAAACCUUUGAUACUGCUCUGAAUGGUUUAAAACAGAUUUCUAGUGUCAGGACCAGUGCUGUGCUGCCUGCCUCAUAUCCUUCCCAAGCUUGUCUACCUUCCCCUUUCG
Ipomoea nil (Japanese morning glory) is the source of this 333-nucleotide long non-coding RNA. RefSeq lists it as uncharacterized. The record is from RefSeq and is a predicted model, not a curated record. The transcript is spliced from 5 exons. NCBI's taxonomy places the organism in Eukaryota, Viridiplantae, Streptophyta, Magnoliopsida, Solanales, Convolvulaceae.